This 436-nucleotide long non-coding RNA is filed under the name Mytilus galloprovincialis (Mediterranean mussel). Lineage: Eukaryota; Metazoa; Mollusca; Bivalvia; Mytilida; Mytilidae. The record is from RNAcentral.
GUUUAUAUCAGAAUUCUACUGAUUCAGCUAAACUUUAAAACCAAAUUUUUGUAUGUAUGAAAGAAUUGAAUAAUUUAUGGUUAACAAUAUCCUGACAGUAUCGUUUACUAGUUAUACAUGGAUUACCUUCAUUGAAAGUCUAAACUUGUAUUCUAUUGUUUCCGUAAAAGUGGUACCUACUACCUUAUUGAAAUUUUAAUUAAUGUUAUAAAAAACGUUAGUUACUGCUGGGACUUCUAGUGUUAUACUAAUAGUAUAAUAUUCACAGGUUACUGUUGUCCUAUGAGAAUAUUAGUUGUCAAACUUUUUUUAUUUUAUCUUUAUGAUGAUUAAGAAUAUAUUACAAGUUUACAAAUAUACACUUGAUCAUUUUUUUGUUUUUGUUUGUAAAAGACAAUACACAAAGCAUUCUGUGAAAAAGAUGAUGUAAAUUGAC